This 490-nucleotide ribosomal RNA is filed under the name uncultured bacterium. RNAcentral describes it as "partial 16S ribosomal RNA". It matches the Rfam family "Bacterial small subunit ribosomal RNA", at positions 29 to 523 of the family's 1533-position model. The record is from RNAcentral.
AAUGAACGUUGGCGGCAUGGAUUAGGCAUGCAAGUCGAGCGAGAAGAGUUUUGAAGCUUGCUUUAGAACUCGGACAGCGGCGAAAGGGAGAGUAACGCGUAGUUAUGUGCCCUAGGGUCCGGAAUAGCCACGGGAAACUGUGGGUAAUGCCGGAUAACAUCCCCGGGUCAAAGGUGUGAUUCCGCCCUAGGAGCAGACUGCGUCCUACUAGCUAGUUGGUGGGGUAAUGGCCCACCAAGGCAAUGAUGGGUAGCGGGUGUGAGAGCAUGACCCGGCUCACUGGGACUGGGACACUGCCCAGACACCUCCGGGUGGCUGCAGUCGAGAAUCUUCGGCAAUGGGCGAAAGCCUGACCGAGCGAUGCCGCGUGCGGGAUGAAGGCCCUCGGGUUGUAAACCGCUGUCGUAGGGGAGGAAGGUUCCGUGAAGAGCGGAAUUUGACCUAUCCUAGGAGGAAGUACGGGCUAAGUUCGUGCCAGCAGCCGCGGUAA